GGACCCAGGUCGGAGAGUGUCCCCCUUGUCGGCGCCGGAUCACCUCGACCCAUUUCUCAACUCUCUGGCUGCACUCGAACAUCGCCUCUGGUGACAGAUUUCACAGCGUUACCAGGUCCACUGCAGUAUGGAAGGUCCCCCUGGCUCCUGGAGCAGCGCGGUGAACAGCAUCCGCUGCCGCACGCUCAAGUCAGGCCACUGGUACCAGUUGCGAGCAACGUAGGCGACACCACGUUCCAGCUUUGCCUGUGACAUGAGCAGUCCGUGAUGUCUCCGAGCAGCCGGCUACUCGACUUUGGAUGUCGGUUGGCCAGGAUGUCCAGCAGGAGCAGGGUCCUCACCAGAAGUGCGACUAUGGCGAGGAUAUCCUCACCGCGGACAUCCUCACCGGAAGUGGCGACUAUGGCGAGAAUGUCCUCACCGCUAACUUGGCACGGCCUUCCCUCGAUCAGGAGCAACUUGGUGCGAGACUGCCGAACAGCCGCUGACCCAGGCUGGAGAGGUUCAGCUCGAACGUCAGGUCUCGAACCUGCGUCAGAGUGGCCACAUUUAUCGUCACGACAACGAGGCAGUCAACACCGUUGCUGGAAAUUGCGACAGACGCGUC
Molecule: long non-coding RNA, 607 nt
Organism: Dermacentor albipictus
Lineage: Eukaryota; Metazoa; Arthropoda; Arachnida; Ixodida; Ixodidae
Source: RefSeq, a predicted model, not a curated record